RNAcentral lists this ribosomal RNA (468 nucleotides) under uncultured bacterium. RNAcentral describes it as "partial 16S ribosomal RNA". It matches the Rfam family "Bacterial small subunit ribosomal RNA", at positions 28 to 507 of the family's 1533-position model. The record is from RNAcentral.
GACGAACGCUGGCGGCGUGCUUAACACAUGCAAGUCGAACGGAAAGGCCCUGCUUUUGUGGGGUGCUCGAGUGGCGAACGGGUGAGUAACACGUGAGUAACCUGCCCUUGACUGUGGGAUAACUUCAGGAAACUUGGGCUCAUACCGGAUAGGAUCUCCUGCUGCAUGGUGGGGGCUGGAAAGUUUCGGCGGUUGGGGAUGGAAUCGCGGCUUAUCAGCUUGAUGGUGGGGUAGUGGCUUACCAAGGCUUUGACGGGUAGCAGGCCUGAGAGGGUGACCGGACACAUUGCGACUGAGAUACGGCCCAGACUCGUACGGGAGGCAGCAGUGGGGAAUAUUACACAAUGGGCGGAAGCCUGAUGCAGCAACGCCGCGUGCGGGAUGACGGCCUUCGGGUUGUAAACCGCUUCCGCCUGUGACGAAGCGUGAGUGACGGUAACGGGUAAAGAAGCACCGGCUAACUACGUG